Molecule: ribosomal RNA, 2043 nt
Filed under: Pseudomonas aeruginosa
Lineage: Bacteria; Pseudomonadati; Pseudomonadota; Gammaproteobacteria; Pseudomonadales; Pseudomonadaceae
Description: bacterial LSU rRNA
Rfam family: Bacterial large subunit ribosomal RNA
Source: RNAcentral
UCAAGUGAAGAAGCGCAUACGGUGGAUGCCUUGGCAGUCAGAGGCGAUGAAAGACGUGGUAGCCUGCGAAAAGCUUCGGGGAGUCGGCAAACAGACUUUGAUCCGGAGAUCUCUGAAUGGGGGAACCCACCUAGGAUAACCUAGGUAUCUUGUACUGAAUCCAUAGGUGCAAGAGGCGAACCAGGGGAACUGAAACAUCUAAGUACCCUGAGGAAAAGAAAUCAACCGAGAUUCCCUUAGUAGUGGCGAGCGAACGGGGAUUAGCCCUUAAGCUUCAUUGAUUUUAGCGGAACGCUCUGGAAAGUGCGGCCAUAGUGGGUGAUAGCCCCGUACGCGAAAGGAUCUUUGAAGUGAAAUCGAGUAGGACGGAGCACGAGAAACUUUGUCUGAACAUGGGGGGACCAUCCUCCAAGGCUAAAUACUACUGACUGACCGAUAGUGAACCAGUACCGUGAGGGAAAGGCGAAAAGAACCCCGGAGAGGGGAGUGAAAUAGAACCUGAAACCGUAUGCGUACAAGCAGUGGGAGCCUACUUGUUAGGUGACUGCGUACCUUUUGUAUAAUGGGUCAGCGACUUAUAUUCAGUGGCAAGCUUAACCGUAUAGGGUAGGCGUAGCGAAAGCGAGUCUUAAUAGGGCGUUUAGUCGCUGGGUAUAGACCCGAAACCGGGCGAUCUAUCCAUGAGCAGGUUGAAGGUUAGGUAACACUGACUGGAGGACCGAACCCACUCCCGUUGAAAAGGUAGGGGAUGACUUGUGGAUCGGAGUGAAAGGCUAAUCAAGCUCGGAGAUAGCUGGUUCUCCUCGAAAGCUAUUUAGGUAGCGCCUCAUGUAUCACUCUGGGGGGUAGAGCACUGUUUCGGCUAGGGGGUCAUCCCGACUUACCAAACCGAUGCAAACUCCGAAUACCCAGAAGUGCCGAGCAUGGGAGACACACGGCGGGUGCUAACGUCCGUCGUGAAAAGGGAAACAACCCAGACCGCCAGCUAAGGUCCCAAAGUUGUGGUUAAGUGGUAAACGAUGUGGGAAGGCUUAGACAGCUAGGAGGUUGGCUUAGAAGCAGCCAUCCUUUAAAGAAAGCGUAAUAGCUCACUAGUCGAGUCGGCCUGCGCGGAAGAUGUAACGGGGCUCAAACCACACACCGAAGCUGCGGGUGUCACGUAAGUGACGCGGUAGAGGAGCGUUCUGUAAGCCUGUGAAGGUGAGUUGAGAAGCUUGCUGGAGGUAUCAGAAGUGCGAAUGCUGACAUGAGUAACGACAAUGGGUGUGAAAAACACCCACGCCGAAAGACCAAGGGUUCCUGCGCAACGUUAAUCGACGCAGGGUUAGUCGGUUCCUAAGGCGAGGCUGAAAAGCGUAGUCGAUGGGAAACAGGUUAAUAUUCCUGUACUUCUGGUUACUGCGAUGGAGGGACGGAGAAGGCUAGGCCAGCUUGGCGUUGGUUGUCCAAGUUUAAGGUGGUAGGCUGAAAUCUUAGGUAAAUCCGGGGUUUCAAGGCCGAGAGCUGAUGACGAGUCGUCUUUUAGAUGACGAAGUGGUUGAUGCCAUGCUUCCAAGAAAAGCUUCUAAGCUUCAGGUAACCAGGAACCGUACCCCAAACCGACACAGGUGGUCGGGUAGAGAAUACCAAGGCGCUUGAGAGAACUCGGGUGAAGGAACUAGGCAAAAUGGCACCGUAACUUCGGGAGAAGGUGCGCCGGCUAGGGUGAAGGAUUUACUCCGUAAGCUCUGGCUGGUCGAAGAUACCAGGCCGCUGCGACUGUUUAUUAAAAACACAGCACUCUGCAAACACGAAAGUGGACGUAUAGGGUGUGACGCCUGCCCGGUGCCGGAAGGUUAAUUGAUGGGGUUAGCGCAAGCGAAGCUCUUGAUCGAAGCCCCGGUAAACGGCGGCCGUAACUAUAACGGUCCUAAGGUAGCGAAAUUCCUUGUCGGGUAAGUUCCGACCUGCACGAAUGGCGUAACGAUGGCGGCGCUGUCUCCACCCGAGACUCAGUGAAAUUGAAAUCGCUGUGAAGAUGCAGUGUAUCCGCGGCUAGACGGA